UACGUAGGGUGCAAGCGUUAAUCGGAAUUACUGGGCGUAAAGCGUGCGCAGGCGGUUAUGUAAGACAGAUGUGAAAUGCCCGGGCUUAACCUGGGAACUGCAUUUGUGACUGCAUGGCUAGAGUUUGGCAGAGGGGGGUAGAGUUCCACGUGUAGCAGUGAAAUGCGUAGAUAUGUGGAGGAACACCGAUGGCGAAGGCAGCCCCCUGGGUCAAGACUGACGCUCAUGCACGAAAGCGUGGGGAGCAAACAGG
RNAcentral lists this ribosomal RNA (253 nucleotides) under uncultured bacterium. Its description in RNAcentral is "partial 16S ribosomal RNA". It matches the Rfam family "Bacterial small subunit ribosomal RNA", at positions 524 to 776 of the family's 1533-position model. The record is from RNAcentral.